This 463-nucleotide ribosomal RNA is filed under the name uncultured bacterium. RNAcentral's name for it is "partial 16S ribosomal RNA". It matches the Rfam family "Bacterial small subunit ribosomal RNA", at positions 28 to 507 of the family's 1533-position model. The record is from RNAcentral.
GAUGAACGCUGACAGAAUGCUUAACACAUGCAAGUCGAUGGGGAAGUGGUGCUUGCACCAUGGUAACCAUGGCGGACGGGUGAGUAACGCGUAAGGAACUUACCUGCGGGACCGGGAUAACAGCAGGAAACUGCUGACGAGACCGGAUAAGGUCAUUAAGCUGCAUAGCUUAGUGAUGAAAGGAGACGCCUGCGGAGAGCCUUGCGUCCUAUUAGCUAGUUGGAGGGGUAACGGCCCACCAAGGCGAAGAUAGGUAGCCGGCCUGAGAGGGUGGACGGCCACAAGGGGACUGAGAUACGGCCCUUACUCCUACGGGAGGCAGCAGUGGGGAAUAUUGGACAAUGGGGGCAACCCUGAUCCAGCAAUUCUGUGUGCACGAAGACGGUUUUCGGAUUGUAAAGUGCUUUCAGCAGGGAAGAAGGAAGUGACGGUACCUGCAGAAGAAGCGACGGCUAAAUACGUG